AUGAACGCUGGCGGCGUGCCUAAUACAUGCAAGUCGAGCGAACAGACGAGGAGCUUGCUCCUCUGACGUUAGCGGCGGACGGGUGAGUAACACGUGGAUAACCUACCUAUAAGACUGGGAUAACUUCGGGAAACCGGAGCUAAUACCGGAAAAUAUAUUGAACCGCAUGGUUCAAUAGUGAAAGACGGUUUUGCUGUCACUUAUAGAUGGAUCCGCGCCGCAUUAGCUAGUUGGUAAGGUAACGGCUUACCAAGGCAACGAUGCGUAGCCGACCUGAGAGGGUGAUCGGCCACACUGGAACUGAGACACGGUCCAGACUCCUACGGGAGGCAGCAGUAGGGAAUCUUCCGCAAUGGGCGAAAGCCUGACGGAGCAACGCCGCGUGAGUGAUGAAGGUCUUCGGAUCGUAAAACUCUGUUAUUAGGGAAGAACAAAUGUGUAAGUAACUAUGCACGUCUUGACGGUACCUAAUCAGAAAGCCACGGCUAACUACGUG
Molecule: ribosomal RNA, 496 nt
Filed under: uncultured bacterium
Lineage: Bacteria
Description: partial 16S ribosomal RNA
Rfam family: Bacterial small subunit ribosomal RNA
Source: RNAcentral